CACCGCCCGUCACACCAUGAAAGUCGGCUGUACCAGAAGUCGCUGUGCUAACCGCAAGGGGGCAGGCGCCCAAGGUAUGGUCGAUGAUUGGGGUG
RNAcentral lists this ribosomal RNA (95 nucleotides) under uncultured bacterium. RNAcentral's name for it is "partial 16S ribosomal RNA". It matches the Rfam family "Bacterial small subunit ribosomal RNA", at positions 1388 to 1482 of the family's 1533-position model. The record is from RNAcentral.